ACGACCGAAUAGAUAUUGCUAGUUAGAUAGCUGCUAAUCUGCUUGGUAUCUGAUUGAUUGCUAAUAGAGUAGAGAAUGCUAGCUAUCUAUCUACCUACAUAUCUGCUUGAUAUUCAAUGGUUCACUAUACAAAUAGAUAUUGUCAUCUAGCUACCAAUCUAUCUACCAAGCUACCUGCAUGAUAUCUGAUCAAUUGCUAAUGAAAUAAAAAAUGAUUGCUAGAUAGCAAUCUAGCUACCAAUCUAUCUACACAAUGUCUGGUCAAUUGCUAAUAGAGUAGAGAACACUAGCUACCUAUCUACCUCCCUACCUACCAACCACCC
This 323-nucleotide small RNA is filed under the name Histoplasma capsulatum var. duboisii H88. Its description in RNAcentral is "Histoplasma capsulatum H88 hypothetical RNA". The record is from RNAcentral. Lineage: Eukaryota; Fungi; Ascomycota; Eurotiomycetes; Onygenales; Ajellomycetaceae.